CGACCGGACCGCUCCCGGACCUGACCGACCUGCUCGACGCGCAGGUUGACGACCGGAUGCUCCCGGUCCUCGCGUGGUUCUACGCCGCGCCGUUUGC
This 97-nucleotide transfer RNA is filed under the name Haloferax sulfurifontis. Its description in RNAcentral is "tRNA-Val". Lineage: Archaea; Methanobacteriati; Methanobacteriota; Halobacteria; Halobacteriales; Haloferacaceae. The record is from RNAcentral.